GGGCGCUUGGUUUAGUGGUAUAAUACCUCAUUUGCACGUUUCGCCCUGCGAAAACUAUUCAAAAGGUUCGUCCUUGAAAAUGUGAAAUUUGAGGGGGUCGCGCGUUCGAUUCGCGCAGUGUCCA
This is a non-coding RNA of Arachnomyces sp. PD_36, 124 nucleotides long. NCBI's taxonomy places the organism in Eukaryota, Fungi, Ascomycota, Eurotiomycetes, Onygenales, Arachnomycetaceae. The record is from the annotation of a GenBank genome assembly.